GCUUGGUGCAGCGGGACCCCCCGUGUCCCUGAUGAGUCCCUGGGGCAGCUCGGGGAGGCCUGGGAUCCGCUGCCAUCCCAUUCUGGCAGCCCCAGGCCAGGCUGGAGGUGGGCACAGGAGCAGUGCCUCUUUCUGGGGGGCCUCCCUGCUGGGAGCCUCACCCUCCUUAGCGAUGCUUCUUUUUGCACGGAAGGGCAGAAGACAGAACGUCAGACUCAGGCACUGCCUGCAGUAACUGCUCUCCAAUCCUAGUAGACGCAUGAGUGAAAGAGUUGGCAUCUGACUUUAGCUGGGAGGCCAGGGAGGGCUCUCUGAGGAGGGGACAUUUACACAGACCCUUGAGGACCAGGGGUGGGAGCUUGCGAGGAGCCAAGGCACAGCCCUUUUGGGCGGGCGCCUCGGGGAACUUCUGAGCUGGCGACUGGGAGGGGCCUGGGGAGGGUGGACUGCUGGAGGACACUGCCCUGGCACACGUGGUGCCAGUGCCCAGGACCAGGCGCAGUAGGACGAGGAGCAAGAUGGACAUAGAGUUGACCAGAAGAGUAACAUGUUGUGGUCAGACGGCAGGGGCAGUGGGAAGCUGACUCCCCUCGCCCUGCUGCCUGCAAGGGUGCAGGGCUGGAGGAAGAGAUGCGCUGUAUGCAGUCACACUCACCCUCCUGUUUGCAGGACAUAGGCAGGCCACAGCGGGCCUCGGGACCCUGCCCCCCAGCCAGGCACACUGGCCCAGCAGGUGCCAGCAGCAGCAGUGACCAGGCCCACGCCAUGGAGAACUCCUGAAUAUAUGGGAUGCGCUGGCCAUGCGGUCUUUGCUGUCCGCAUCAUCCAGGGCCUGCACCAGCCCCUGGCCAUGGAGGAAGCAACGUGGAUAUUGUCUAUUCCCAGUCCAUUCCCAGUCCCACCAGGCCGGCAAGAAGAACUGUGUCCAGUGUCGUCCUGUGUGUUCACCUCGGCUAAGCACCCGGCUUGCUUCGGGGACCCAGCUGUGCACCACUGUCAGGCCGGCCACUUGCUGCCCGCUGGGCCUCAGAUCCUCUCCUCCUCCUCCUCUCCCAGAACCUGUGUCCCAGGAACUACAUUUCCCAGUAUCCCUUGCAGCUUACCUCAGCCUCUGGGAUGCACAGUCAACUGAAGGAGGCAGAAAGGAGGCUGGGAAGUGAAGGAGGCUCUUCACUUGGCCUUGAGGACCAGUCUCUGGCGCUGGAUGUGUUUCUUGGUUGACUCCAGCUACCAGUGGAGAGUGAGCUUCCUCUGGUUCCAACUCCGCCAGCACAAUCCAGCCAUGCUUCCAUCUCCUGGAACAGCCUUGGACUCUGCAUUUGGGCAACACCACCUGCUCCUGCUUCACACAGAAGCCAGAAGGUAAGGGAGACCAGCACUGCUCCUCUUCCUGAGUGGAAUCCGGUGGGUCAACUACCCAAGUGGUGAAUGUAGCCCAGGCCUGCCGGUCGGAGCGCCAGCCACCCCCAUCCCCAACUGUGAUGGACCAGGGUGGGCCACGUGACUUGAUGGAACCAGUGAGAGUGGGUUCUGAAUCUUUGCAUGCGUGAAGGGGAAGUUGCCUUCUCCUCUACCUCGGUGUAGUGACAGAGGCGAAAGAGCUGCUGCCACGGAGCAUCUGUCAACAACAUGUGAGCUAGGCCAGGC
This 1647-nucleotide long non-coding RNA is filed under the name Fukomys damarensis (Damara mole-rat). Its description in RNAcentral is "lncRNA (ENSFDAG00000032267.1)". The record is from RNAcentral. Lineage: Eukaryota; Metazoa; Chordata; Mammalia; Rodentia; Bathyergidae.